RNAcentral lists this ribosomal RNA (255 nucleotides) under uncultured bacterium. RNAcentral describes it as "partial 16S ribosomal RNA". It matches the Rfam family "Bacterial small subunit ribosomal RNA", at positions 524 to 776 of the family's 1533-position model. The record is from RNAcentral.
UACGUAGGGGGCUAGCGUUGUCCGGAAUCAUUGGGCGUAAAGCGCGUGUAGGCGGCCCGGUAAGUCCGCUGUGAAAGUCGGGGGGCUCAACCCUCGGAUGCCGGUGGAUACUGUCGGGCUAGAGUGCGGAAGAGGCGAGUGGAAUUCCUGGUGUAGCGGUGAAAUGCGCAGGAUAUCAGGAGGAACACCAAUUGCGAAGGCAGCUCGCUGGGACGUUACUGACGCUGAGACGCGAAAGCGUGGGGAGCAAACAGG